ACACGACCCAGAUUCUUACGGGAGGCAGCAGUUGGGAAUAUUGCACAAUGGGCGCAUGCCUGAUGCAGCAACGCUGAGUGAGGGACGACGGCCUUCGGGUUGUAAACCUCUUUUAGCAGGGAAGAAGCGAAAGUGACGGUACCUGCAGAAAAAGCGCCGGCUAACUACGUGCCAGCAGCCGCGGUAAUACGUAGGGCGCAAGCGUUAUCCGGAAUUAUUGGGCGUAAAGAGCUCGUAGGCGGUUUGUCGCGUYUGCUGUGAAAUCCGGAGGCUCAACCUCCGGCCUGCAGUGGGUACGGGCAGACUAGAGUGCGGUAGGGGAGAUUGGAAUUCCUGGUGUAGCGGUGGAAUGCGCAGAUAUCAGGAGGAACACCGAUGGCGAAGGCAGAUCUCUGGGCCGUAACUGACGCUGAGGAGCGAAAGGGUGGGGAGCAAACAGGCUUAGAUACCCUGGUAGUCCACCCCGUAAACGUUGGGAACUAGUUGUGGGGUCCAUUCCACGGAUUCCGUGACGCAGCUAACGCAUUAAGUUCCCCGCCUGGGGAGUACGGCCGCAAGGCUAAAACUCAAAGGAAUUGACGGGGACCCGCACAAGCGGCGGAGCAUGCGGAUUAAUUCGAUGCAACGCGAAGAACCUUACCAAGGCUUGACAUAUACGAGAACGGGCCAGAAAUGGUCAACUCUUUGGACACUCGUAAACAGGUGGUGCAUGGUUGUCGUCAGCUCGUGUCGUGAGAUGUUGGGUUAAGUCCCGCAACGAGCGCAACCCUCGUUCUAUGUUGCCAGCACGUAAUGGUGGGAACUCAUGGGAUACUGCCGGGGUCAACUCGGAGGAAGGUGGGGAUGACGUCAAAUCAUCAUGCCCCUUAUGUCUUGGGCUUCACGCAUGCUACAAUGGCCGGUACAAAGGGCUGCAAUACCGCGAGGUGGAGCGAAUCCCAAAAAGCCGGUCCCAGUUCGGAUUGAGGUCUGCAACUCGACCUCAUGAAGUCGGAGUCGCUAGUAAUCGCAGAUCAGCAACGCUGCGGUGAAUACGUUCCCGGGUCUUGUACACACCGCCCGUCAAGUCAUGAAAGUCGGUAACACCUGAAGC
This 1093-nucleotide ribosomal RNA is filed under the name Microbacterium oxydans. RNAcentral's name for it is "bacterial SSU rRNA". It matches the Rfam family "Bacterial small subunit ribosomal RNA", at positions 324 to 1427 of the family's 1533-position model. The record is from RNAcentral. Lineage: Bacteria; Bacillati; Actinomycetota; Actinomycetes; Micrococcales; Microbacteriaceae.